Molecule: long non-coding RNA, 986 nt
Organism: Sander lucioperca (pikeperch)
Lineage: Eukaryota; Metazoa; Chordata; Actinopteri; Perciformes; Percidae
Exons: 3
Source: RefSeq, a predicted model, not a curated record
CUUGUUGACCAAGUCACACAGACGUGGUGCCGGUUCCCAUCACCCAAAGAAAGGGGGAGCGUCACAGACUGGGGAUAGGAGAGUAAAGAUGGACACAGUCAUUGGCUCAGCUCCUCCAGUGCGACGUCACACAGCUCACCUAGAUGUCAGCAAGGAAGUAAUUGGCCUGAUUAAUUCCUCGGCUCUUCCAGUCUGACUGAAGGCCGCAGUAGGACAACAGAUGGCUGAUUUAAGGUCAGUGUGAGCCGGGUUCUCCUGUCUGUCAAUCUCCUUAGCGUGUGUGAAUUAGGCCCAGAGAGGAAGCGAACCGACACAAACAGCUUUCCGGCUCAGGUCCAAGGACACAAGAUGACACAGAUGCUCCAAUGUUCCCCUCAACGCUGAACCAAGUGACCCAGAACCCCACAGAGCACAGUCGUCUGUUAUGGCUGGCAAACUGGAGGCUAUGACAGAAAGAGAUGAUGCCUCGUCUUUUAAACGGAGAAAUGGUCUUGGACAGCCUGCUACUGAGUAAAGACACUUUGAUCUGUUUUUUUUUUAAUGUAGGUUUGACUUGAUCUGGUUGUGUCAAGUGAUACAAAAUAGUGCCAGUUGUGGAGAGGCAAUGUUCUGCAGUGAUGAGGUGAGGUCUGGACAGGGAAGACUGUGAAGUAACACCUGAGUACAACAUAUUUAUAUGGUAGCUGUGCUGAAUGUUUCAUUUAUUGGUUUCAUUCAAAAUUGAGUGAAAUUGUCAACAUUGUAAAUUCCAUGUGCUUAUAAAGGUGUAUGUUUGUGAUUAUGAGUUUUGGUCUUAAAGAUACAAUUUUACUGUUGUAGUACAGUGUAACUCUACAGUCUGCACCACACUGGCUGAUUGUUCAUUCUCAUGCAGUGGAAGUGCUGCAGGAAGUGAUGUCACAUUAUCGCCCCCACUUGGAAAAAAACUGCAACUGCAACACAAGACAGCUUCAGUCAGACACCAUGCAACAAGUGAUGUCCACAAA